Molecule: ribosomal RNA, 642 nt
Filed under: uncultured Pseudomonadota bacterium
Lineage: Bacteria; Pseudomonadati; Pseudomonadota
Description: bacterial SSU rRNA
Rfam family: Bacterial small subunit ribosomal RNA
Source: RNAcentral
GGCGGCACGCCUAACACAUGCAAGUCGAACGAAGUAGCAAUACUUAGUGGCAGACGGGUGAGUAACAUGUAGGUAUCUGCCCUUUGGCCUGGAAUAACACGAGGAAACUUGUGCUAAUACCGGAUAAGUCUUUACGGAGAAAGCUUUAUGCACCAUUGGAUGAGCCUGCUCUUGAUUAGUUUGUUGGUGGGGUAAUGGCCUACCAAGACUGUGAUCAAUAGCUGAUUUGAGAGGAUGAUCAGCCACAUUGGGACUGAGACACGGCCCAAACUCCUACGGGAGGCAGCAGUGGGGAAUCUUGCACAAUGGAGGAAACUCUGAUGCAGCGAUGCCGCGUGAGUGAAGAAGGCCUUUGGGUUGUAAAGCUCUUUCGUCGGGGAAGAAAAUGACUGUACCCGAAUAAGAAGGUCCGGCUAACUUCGUGCCAGCAGCCGCGGUAAUACGAAGGGACCUAGCGUAGUUCGGAAUUACUGGGCUUAAAGAGUUCGUAGGUGGUUGAAAAAGUUAGUGGUGAAAUCCCAGAGCUUAACUCUGGAACUGCCAUUAAAACUUUUCAGCUAGAGUAUGAUAGAGGAAAGCAGAAUUUCUAGUGUAGAGGUGAAAUUCGUAGAUAUUAGAAAGAAUACCAAUUGCGAAGGCAGC